Molecule: ribosomal RNA, 233 nt
Filed under: uncultured bacterium
Lineage: Bacteria
Description: partial 16S ribosomal RNA
Rfam family: Bacterial small subunit ribosomal RNA
Source: RNAcentral
CGGACGGGUGGAGUAAUGCAUCGGGACCUACCCAGACGUGGGGGAUAACGUAGGGAAACUUACGCUAAUACCGCAUACGUCCUACGGGAGAAAGCGGGGGACCUUCGGGCCUCGCGCGUUUGGACGGACCGAUGUUCGAUUAGCUAGUUGGUAAGGUAAUGGCUUACCAAGGCGACGAUCGAUAGCUGGUCUGAGAGGAUGAUCAGCCACACUGGAACUGAGACACGGUCCAG